ACCUGGUUGAUCCUGCCAGUAGUCAUACGCUUGUCUUAAGGAUUAAGCCAUGCAUGUCUAAGUGCGGUGUACUCUAACACGCCAGACUGCGGACGGCUCAUUAUAACAGUUAUAGUUUAUUUGAUGGUUCUUUUACGUGGAUAACCGUGGUAAUUCUAGAGCUAAUACAUGCCCAAAAUCCCUGUCGCUUCGGUGCUGGGGAGCAUUUAUUAGAUGUCGAACCCAAUGGCCUUCGGGUCUAUUUGAGGACUCAUAAUAACUCGAGUAAGAUCGUUCUAUGAACGGCGUAUCAUUCAAGUUUCUGACCUAUCAGUUAGUCGGUAGUGUAUUGGACUACUGAGGCUCUGACGGGUAACGGAGAAUUAGGGUUCGAUUCCGGAGAGGGAGCCUGAGAAACGGCUACCACAUCUAAGGAAGGCAGCAGGCGCGUAACUUACCCAAUCCUGACUCAGGGAGGUAGUGACAAGAAAUCACAAUAUUUCGCCCAAUUGGGCAAAGUAAUUGUAUUGAGAACAGGCUAAACAUGUUAACGAUAAACCAUUGGAGGGCAAGUCUGGUGCCAGCAGCCGCGGUAAUUCCAGCUCCCAUAGCGUAUACUAACGUUGUUGCAGUUAAAAGCUCGUAGUUGGAUUUUUAGCCGCGCGUGCGGGUAGUGGCCUUUAGUGUCACUUAUCUCGCUCGUCGUGGCUAUUUUGGCUCAGCGUGUCGUUGGCAUUAGUUUGUCGACGGCUCCGCCAGGUCGAGUUUACUUUGAGAAAAUUAGAGUGUUCAAAACAGUCAAUUGAUUGUAUAUCAUAGCAUGGAAUAAUAACUGAUGACUUCGUUCACCUUUUGUUGGGUUCAGAUGGCUGAGUUAAUGAUUGAUAGGGUUAGUCGGAGGUAUUAGUAUUCUGUCGUUAGAGGUGAAAUUCAUGGAUCGGCAGAAGACUGACAACUGCGAAAGCAUUUAUCUAGGAUUUGCUCUUUGAUCAAGAACGAAAGUUGGGGGAUCGAAGACGAUCAGAUACCGUCGUAGUCUCAACUAUAAACUAUACCAGCUAGGGAUUGGCAAGCGUUUGACUUGACCUUGUCAGAACCUUAUGAGAAAUCAAAGCAUUUGGGUUCCGGGGGGAGUAUGGUCGCAAGGCUGAAACUUAAA
Molecule: ribosomal RNA, 1138 nt
Filed under: uncultured Polycystinea
Lineage: Eukaryota; Polycystinea
Description: bacterial SSU rRNA
Rfam family: Eukaryotic small subunit ribosomal RNA
Source: RNAcentral